Non-coding RNA from Triticum urartu, 115 nucleotides. The record is from Rfam. Lineage: Eukaryota; Viridiplantae; Streptophyta; Magnoliopsida; Poales; Poaceae.
CUUGUACCCCCUCCGUCCGAAAAUACUUGUCAUUGAAUUUGAUAUAUCUAGAUGUAUUUUAGUUCUAGACACAUCCAUUUUGAUGACAAGUAAUUCCGGACAGAGGGGGUACUUG